This 78-nucleotide non-coding RNA is filed under the name Terrisporobacter mayombei. RNAcentral's name for it is "NiCo". It matches the Rfam family "NiCo (Nickel/Cobalt) riboswitch aptamer". The record is from RNAcentral. Lineage: Bacteria; Bacillati; Bacillota; Clostridia; Peptostreptococcales; Peptostreptococcaceae.
ACAGUACAAACUGAUCAGGCCGUAAUUUUAUGGAGCCGGGCCGAAGGGCAACAGGGAAACGAUACCUGUGGGACAGUA